AAACCGUCCAGGGGUAAACCUGCGAAACUCGAAUGAACGAACGGGGAGAUUCAUCGUCACUCCUCGGUGCACUAGCACCGGAUGUUCGGGGCCUCGGUCCCGUUCACCUCCGGCGCGUGAGCGUCCGAGCGACGGCGUGCACUUCUCCCUUAGUAAUACAUCGCGACCCGUUCGAUGUCGGUCUAAGUGCCCCGGGAGUCGGCGUGGAUACCGCACCGACCGGCCGUCGGACGGUAUAUACGAAACGCUCACGCGCGCGCGUCCGGCCCGACGCAAGGUACGUCGUCAAUCGCCUCCUGCCCGAGUGCGGUGGUGGUUGCGGCGCGCCUGUUGUCGCCGCCGUGCCGUCUCGGACUGUGUGCGUAUCUGUCUGCGAUGAUUCAGUUUCGGGCACUCGCAGGACCCGUCUUGA
RNAcentral lists this ribosomal RNA (412 nucleotides) under Lomographa bimaculata (white-pinioned spotted). RNAcentral describes it as "eukaryotic LSU rRNA". The record is from RNAcentral. Lineage: Eukaryota; Metazoa; Arthropoda; Insecta; Lepidoptera; Geometridae.